This 330-nucleotide unclassified non-coding RNA is filed under the name soil metagenome. Its description in RNAcentral is "partial contains 5.8S ribosomal RNA, internal transcribed spacer 2, and large subunit ribosomal RNA". The stretch from base 5 to 121 matches the Rfam family "5.8S ribosomal RNA", at positions 38 to 154 of the family's 154-position model. The record is from RNAcentral.
GAUGGAAGAACGUAGCGAAAUGCGAUAAGUAAUGUGAAUUGCAGAAUUCAGUGAAUCAUCGAAUCUUUGAACGCACAUUGCGCCCCCUGGUAUUCCGGGGGGCAUGCCUGUCCGAGCGUCAUUACAACCCUCAAGCUCUGCUUGGUGUUGGGCCCCGCCGCCCCGGCGGGCCCUAAAGUCAGUGGCGGUGCCAUCCGGCUCCGAGCGUAGUAAUUCUUCUCGCUCUGGAGGUCCGGUUGUGUGCUUGCCAUCAACCCCCAAUUUUUUUCAGGUUGACCUCGGAUCAGGUUGGGAUACCCGCUGAACUUAAGCAUAUCAAUAAGCGGAGGA